Long non-coding RNA from Esox lucius (northern pike), 570 nucleotides. NCBI's taxonomy places the organism in Eukaryota, Metazoa, Chordata, Actinopteri, Esociformes, Esocidae. The record is from Ensembl.
UGGACUGACCACCGGAACCUGGAGUACAUGCGGGCAGCAAGGAGGCUGACCCCUCGCCAGGCAAGGCCGGUGGUGGAUGGUCCCCUUCAGGGGUGUGAGGUGCGGGAGGUUCCCCCUCCCCCUCUGGACAUCGAGGGGGCCCCGGCGUACUCGGUCCGCUCCAUCAUCGACUCGAGGUGCCGGGCGGGGGGCCUCCAGUACCUCGUGGAGUGGGAGGGGUACGGCCCGGAGGAGCGGAGCUGGGUUCCGGUGAAGGACGUCCUGGCUCCCGUCCUUGUCCGCGAAUUCCACCAGCGUCGGCCGGAUCGCCCUGCUCCGCGCCCCCCCGGGUCGGCCCCGAGGCCGGUGCCGUCGCGCGGCUAGGGCCGCGUGUCAGGGGGGGGGUACUGUGACGACUACGACCUCUGCUGGUUCACCUCCCCCUGCAGCGGGCGGGCCCCGGCGGUCGACGUCACCGGCUUUCUGACACCACCGUCUCAUCAUGCAUUUCACCUGUGUCUCGUUUAGUGCACCUGUUCAUCAUCGCUGUUUCCCCCGGUAUAUAUGUUCCCUCUGCUCCCCCUGUCUUUG